This is a long non-coding RNA of Fukomys damarensis (Damara mole-rat), 907 nucleotides long. RefSeq lists it as uncharacterized. The transcript is spliced from 3 exons. NCBI's taxonomy places the organism in Eukaryota, Metazoa, Chordata, Mammalia, Rodentia, Bathyergidae. The record is from RefSeq and is a predicted model, not a curated record.
CCCGGUACCAAAAAAGAAAAUCAGUCUAACUCUCUUCCAUCUUUUUGUCCUCAGUAUCAUCUGAGAUCGACAGCUCGGCCUGAACUCUACCUUCUCACACUGGAUGCUGACCACCUGCAUCUAGAUGACUUGCGGCUUGGGGGACUAUAGGACAGCCAUGGCGAACCUGUUAGAGCUUUCAGUGAUACAAACAGCCUGCUGUGGCACACGUGCCACAGGUUCACCACCCCUGCUAUAGGAGAACCACAUUCUCUGAGCCUCUUGUGCCAAGUGUCUGUCAACGUAUUUCUGUUGGUUGAAAGUUGCAUUUGUCAUCAGUUUUAAUACCGGAGAAUGUUGGAGUAAGAAAUAGGAAUAUCCUGUUUGACAACUUAUAAAAGUUUUGGAGUUGAACCCAGUGCUUUGGCUUGCUAGACAAGUAUUCUACCCUGACCUAUAUCCCAGCUUUUUUUAUUUAUUGAGAAAAGGUCUCACCAAGUUACCCAAGAGGGCCUCAAACUUACAAUCCUCCUGCCUCAGCCUCCUCAGUAGUUGGAAUUACAGGUCUGUACAACUACAUCUGGCAGCAUGUAGAUAUUAAAACAGUCAAUCUAAAGAGUAACCUAGGUGUAUUUAUUUAAUUCCUGGGAUUCAACACUGUGGAGUCAAUUUAUAAAGGAAAAGUGUGUUCCAACCAUGUAUACCCAGAAUUUCAGGAGAAGUACAGUUAAAUGAGUGUUACUGAACAGCUGCUGCUAUGUAACUUUAUGUCUUCCUGAUAUAAAAGACAAGCACAGUGUAUCCAAACUUUAUUAAAUAGUUUAAUUUACAAAUAUGACAUUAGAGAUCAGAGUAGCCAAUGAAGGUAGCCUUUUAUAUUACAUUAAGCCAUGAAACCUUUGCCUACAAAGUAUUUUGCAAAUUUAGG